Molecule: ribosomal RNA, 207 nt
Filed under: uncultured delta proteobacterium
Lineage: Bacteria; Deltaproteobacteria
Description: partial 16S ribosomal RNA
Rfam family: Bacterial small subunit ribosomal RNA
Source: RNAcentral
CGCGUAGGCGGUUUGAUAAGUCAGAUGUGAAAGCCCACGGCUUAACUGUGGAAGUGCAUUUGAAACUGUCAGACUUGAGUAUCAGAGGGGAAAGUGGAAUUCCCGGUGUAGAGGUGAAAUUCGUAGAUAUCGGGAGGAAUACCGAUGGCGAAGGCGACUUUCUGGCUGAAUACUGACGCUGAGGCGCGAAAGCGUGGGGAGCAAACA